AUGUUCUCAUCAACGUCGCUAUCCCGCGUCAACAACAUCCGCGCCGCCCUCUCCAAUGCGCAGAAAGGAACACAAUCGGUGGCCACCUUCUUCGCGUAUAUGCGGGGACUCGCCGAUGAGCUCGCUGCGGCUGGCAAGCCGUUGAGGGAUGAUGAUGAGUUAAUCUCUUAUAUCCUCAACGGGCUUGACAUGGAGUACCAGCCAUUGGUGUCCGCCCUUGACGCGCGCACCACUCCGGUCACCCUCGACGAGCUGUUCGGGCAGAUGAGCAACUUCAACCAGCGGAUGGCUCUUUUCCAGGGAGCGGGCGCGGCAGGCGGCUUCAAGUCGUCGGCAAACGUUGCCACUCGCGGCCGGGGCGGAGGCUCCCGCUACCGGGGUCCACCUCGGACCGGCAAGGGCCGGGGCAACGGGAACGGCAACGGCAACAACAGCGGCCGGCGCAACAACUCCUCCAACAACCGAUCACGCCCUGAUGCAAUCAGGUGCCAAAUCUGUGGCAAGCCGGGACACUCGGCGAAAGAUUGUUGGUACCGUUUUGAAGAAGAUGAAGAUGAUUCCUCCCAAGAUGAGAAGGUG
This 579-nucleotide ribosomal RNA is filed under the name Triticum aestivum (bread wheat). RNAcentral's name for it is "partial small subunit ribosomal RNA". Lineage: Eukaryota; Viridiplantae; Streptophyta; Magnoliopsida; Poales; Poaceae. The record is from RNAcentral.